This 41-nucleotide ribosomal RNA is filed under the name Phyllactinia taurica. RNAcentral's name for it is "Leveillula taurica partial 28S rRNA". Lineage: Eukaryota; Fungi; Ascomycota; Leotiomycetes; Helotiales; Erysiphaceae. The record is from RNAcentral.
UUGACCUCGAAUCAGGUAGGGAUACCCGCUKAACUUAAGCA